Amphiprion ocellaris (clown anemonefish) is the source of this 643-nucleotide long non-coding RNA. RefSeq lists it as uncharacterized. The record is from RefSeq and is a predicted model, not a curated record. NCBI's taxonomy places the organism in Eukaryota, Metazoa, Chordata, Actinopteri, Pomacentridae. The transcript is spliced from 2 exons.
GCUCUCAUCUGCAAUAAAUCCUAGUGCUGGAAAACGCAACUUCCCACAGACACUCUACACACAGAAAAGCAGCACAAAAAGGAGCCCAUCAAAAACCAUCAAAAGAGAAACAAUAAUUCAGUGCUGGCUGCCCCCAUUUAUGUACUUUUUUUUUUUUUUAAAGCAAGCCCCUGAAUAAUGGCCUCCAUAUAACAUAGGCUGAGCUCCCUGCUGAAGAGUGCUUUGGACUGCGGAUACCAUGGAGCACACAUAGUGGCAAUCCACCUCCUCAAGGCUUUGGCCCUGCAGUCUGGAUCCACAAAGAGGCACCAAGUAAUGGCUUCCUUAUGGACUCCCGACGCAAGACUGAUGGGCUGACAGAAGGCAUGGGGGCUACCGUCUGCACUGCCGGCAGAUUUUUACUUGUGGCUCCGUUGACAAAACUGGACGAAGAGGAGGUCGAGGAUGCAGCAUCAGUGGCUCCUGCAAGAAGACCAACAAAAGCAUGCAACAUUCAUGAAGUGCAAAAAAUUAUUUUAAAUAUAUAUAUUUUUAGUAAUGUUAAAUAAUUUUACAUAGAGGUAAGGAUUAACAUUUACAUUACAAAAACAAUGUUUUUAGCAUGUUAAUACUUUUGUUGUCAAAGAUUAAACACAAUACUGAA